RNAcentral lists this ribosomal RNA (481 nucleotides) under uncultured bacterium. RNAcentral describes it as "partial 16S ribosomal RNA". It matches the Rfam family "Bacterial small subunit ribosomal RNA", at positions 29 to 523 of the family's 1533-position model. The record is from RNAcentral.
AAUGAACGUUGGCGGCGUGGAUUAGGCAUGCAAGUCGAGCGAGAAUCGUAGCAAUACGUGGACAGCGGCGAAAGGGAGAGGAACACGUGGAUACCUACCCUCAGGUUCAGGAUAGCUAUGGGAAACUAUAGGUAAUACUGAAUAAUAUCUCCGGAUCAAAGGUGUGAUUCCACCUGAGGAGGGGUCCGCGUCCUAUUAGCUAGUUGGUGAGGUAACGGCUCACCAAGGCGAAGAUGGGUACGGGCGUGAGAGCGUGACCCGGAUCACUGGGACUGAGACACUGCCCAGACACCUACGGGUGGCUGCAGUCGAGAAUCUUCGGCAAUGGACGCAAGUCUGACCGAGCGACGCCGCGUGUAUGAUGAAGGUCUUCGGAUUGUAAAGUACUGUCGAUUAGGCGGAAGUGCAUGAGAGUUAUCUCUUGUGCUUGACCUAUCAAUGGAGGAAGGACGGGCUAAGUUCGUGCCAGCAGCCGCAGUAA